ACUCUUCUAUUCCGUACUUUGUUUACUCUGACAUUGACUUAAGAGAAGACUUUACCCUCGUGAUGGAGCAGCGCCGGGAGUUCGCCACCGCCGAGGUCAUGGAAUCCGACUUGGAAUUUGCCUUUCGCCUCCAAUUGCAGGAGGCUCUCGAGGUCUCCCUCGCCGUGAAUCCGUCGUCUUCCUCCGCCGUUCUUGAACAGCCUAUUGUUGAAGUUGAAGACGCAGUGAACCUGACCUCACUGCAGAACGAGGAGUUGGCGCGUGUGGAGUGCGAGUUGAAGGACAGGGAACAGAGCGAGAGGGAAAUGCAAAAGAUGAGGGACGAUCUCAGUCGAAGGUUUCACGACCAGAAGGUGGCGAGGGAUUUAUUGUUGAUUUCUGAGGCGGAUUGGCAAGAGUGGGGCGAUCACUUUGAGAAACCGUUCGGUGAGGGUUCAUCGUCGUCGCGUAAGACGGGGACGGAGGAAGGGAUGGUUAGGGUUUACUUGAAGGGUUUGGUGAGCGAGGAAACCGUGAGGGGGAAGAAGGUUCUGUUAUCUGGGAUAGGGGUUGCGAUCUGUGACGGAAGGAAUAAUUUGCUAUUUGAGGUUUCUAAGUCGGUGAUUGGGAAUGGCACUAGCAAGGUUGCUGUGGAGAUGAAGGCGUUGAUUGAAGCCUUCAAGAUGGCCCUUGCUAUGAACUUAAAGCGCAUAACCUACUACACCGAUUAUCUUCCGCUUCUUCAAUUUGUGAGAGGAAAAUGGUCUGCAAGGCAGCGGAAGAUUGCCAUGUUGGUUGAUCAAAUUCGUGUGCUUCAAUUGAAGUUUACAUACUGUGAUUCAAGGCUUUUGGCCAGAAAUGAUGUCAAGUUUGCAUUUAAGCUUGCGAGAGAUGCCAUUGUGUCUCAGUCUAUGAGACCCACUGAACCUGGGAGUACGAGGAGUUUGAAUGAAACCUGUGCUAUAUGUUUGGAGGAUACUGAUGCCAGUCAGAUUUUUUCAGUUGAUGGAUGUCAACACCGCUAUUGCUUUUCUUGCAUGAAACAACAUGUUGAGGUGAAGUUGCUUCAUGGAAUUGCGCCUAAGUGCCCUCAUGAGGGAUGCAAGUCUGAGCUUCUGGUUGACAGCUGCCAGAAGUUCUUGACUCAAAAUUUAAUUGAUACCAUGCGUCAACGGAAUUUGGAAGCUUCAAUUCCUGUUACUGAAAAAGUUUACUGCCCUUAUCCACGAUGUUCUGCAUUAAUGACAAAAACUCAGGUCUUUGAGUACUCGAAAAAUCUUAUUGGUGGAUCUGUACUGUCGGGGGCCAAAAAAUGCUUAAACUGUCAUGGCCUUUUCUGUUUUAACUGCAAGGUCCCUUGGCAUAGUGGUAUGCCAUGUUUUAUUUACAAAAUGUUGAAUCCCAACCCUCCUGCUGAAGAUUUGAAGCUGAAGUCUCUGGCAUCAACGAGCCUGUGGCGGCAGUGCGUGAAGUGUAACCAUAUGAUUGAACUUGCUGAAGGUUGCUAUCACAUGACUUGCAGAUGUGGUUUUGAAUUUUGCUAUAACUGUGGUGCUGAGUGGAAGAACAAAAGAGCAACGUGUUCUUGCCCACUCUGGGUGGAGGAGAAUAUUUGGUUGGAGGAGAGAGAUCUGGACGAGGAUGACGACGAGGAUGAUGAUCCCUUUGGAUGACUUUGAUUAUUAUGAUGGUUACUAAGCAGCUGACUGAUUGAUCAGGUUGAUGGUCUCCUUCUACAUCUAAUGGGGCAAAUCCUGAUGGUAGAUUCGAUGGGGGCAACGAUGCUGCAUAGCUGGACCGGUUUCAUGUGGCUCCUAGGAGUGACGUUUUGGCCCUAGAGCUGUUAUAAAACUCUUAUUUUAGGAUCUGUCUCUUUUGAAAAACUAUCUUUUCCUUUGGUUUUAUUUGUGGUUUAAGGCACUGUGAUUCUACCUAAGACCUUUACAUGUUUAUGGAUGACUGUAACCGUGUUUUCCUUAAGUACUUCUUUUGAUUGCCCUGUUUAAUGAUAUAAUUAUGUGACGUGAUUAUUCAGUA
Molecule: unclassified non-coding RNA, 2016 nt
Organism: Vigna unguiculata (cowpea)
Lineage: Eukaryota; Viridiplantae; Streptophyta; Magnoliopsida; Fabales; Fabaceae
Source: RefSeq, a predicted model, not a curated record